RNAcentral lists this transfer RNA (80 nucleotides) under Apaloderma vittatum (bar-tailed trogon). It matches the Rfam family "tRNA". Rfam says of the family: Transfer RNA (tRNA) molecules are approximately 80 nucleotides in length. Their secondary structure includes four short double-helical elements and three loops (D, anti-codon, and T loops). Further hydrogen bonds mediate the characteristic L-shaped molecular structure. tRNAs have two regions of fundamental functional importance: the anti-codon, which is responsible for specific mRNA codon recognition, and the 3' end, to which the tRNAs corresponding amino acid is attached (by aminoacyl-tRNA synthetases). tRNAs cope with the degeneracy of the genetic code in two manners: having more than one tRNA (with a specific anti-codon) for a particular amino acid; and 'wobble' base-pairing, i.e. permitting non-standard base-pairing at the 3rd anti-codon position. The record is from Rfam by way of RNAcentral. Lineage: Eukaryota; Metazoa; Chordata; Aves; Trogoniformes; Trogonidae.
GCCUGGUUAGUUCAGUGGUUUGAAUGCGGUGCUGACAACAUGACAACACCGAGGUCGCGGGUUCAAUUCCCGCUCAGUUG